AGUGUGUUCUGCUGGGUUGUUCUCUGUAGGCCCAGUGCCGCGCGCCGUUUCGUGUAUAGACCACGUGGUCUCUAUCCAUUUGUCCGUUGGGUGCUCUCAAAAGUGUUUCAACUUUCCGCUUUGACAACCUCAAGGGAUGGAAACACUGGAAGAAUAACACCCGGCUAAACCCAAAUGCAGCCACUGCAGAAGGAUCUGGAGUCCAAGUGGUGCCUACGAUGGAGGUCAGACUCUCAGGAAUAGAGGAGGGCAAAGAUGGAGCCGGGUGGGGAGACAAACACAUGGAUAAGAGGGACGUGACCCCAGAGAAACUCCUCCACCUCCGGCAUCCUGUCUCAAAAGCCUUUGCCCCAGCCAGAGCUACAUGGCUUCUCACCAACAAAGGACUCAGGCCAAUCGGCACAUGAACUUCUUUGACUUUGUUUUGCUUCUAUGCAGAAUUUAUUUUCCGGGUUGGGAUGUGAAGCCUUUGUUUAACGGUCCUACAAUGUGCUGAGGUCUACUCUGAGGGGGUGGUGAUUCAUGAAGACAAGGAAUUGGAUUUCACGCCCUUUGAAGUCUCAAGUUGCCCAACUGUAGACAUUGAGCAACACUGCAGUUGGGCAUUAAAAUCUCAACUAUUCCCAGGUUUGUCUUUAAUGAUUAAAAAUGCCCACAUACGAUGUGUCAACGGCUUAUAAUUUCAUAAUUGGGGUGAGGCUCCCGGGGCUCUAGUUGCCAAUAAUGUGUUAAUGUCAGGUUCACGGUGUCCAAUUAGGGUGGAACGUCAAACAGUGUGUGGCAGCGAAUGAAUACAAGAUCACUCAUGUUUUGGUGGAAUUUUCUUUGAAACUGUGAUGUGUUCUAAGAAACUGGGGGAAUGGCUUUCCAGAUAACAGUAACAUCACUGUGUGGCCAUGUUCAGAGGACCAAAGAGGUCGUGGUGGCCUUGCGGGCUUCAGAAUUUUCCCAAGAUAAGAUGAAUUACAGCGUAGGGAUGGAGGGUCAACCACGCAUGCAAGAUUCCUUCCUUUCUCUUCCCUGACAGGGUUGCACCCUUGCUAAUGUGGCUAAUGUGCCGCUUCCACUCAGAAGCUAGGAUCUGGUUUCAUUGUGCUUGGCUUCCUUCCCGGGGUUGAGUCAUGAAGAGUGGUAUAGAAUCUUCCAAGGCCAAAGGUGGUCUUUGUCCAGCUUCUGCACGGCUCCUCUCAGCAUUCUCAGUUAUUGUAUAAUUGCACUUCCUGGUCGUCUGUACUUUGUACUGUGUGUCCGAGCCAGCAUUCAAGCUAUUCUCUCUCUUGGCUUCUUUUUAUCCAUCCAACCAUUCCAUGGACUGUUUAUUAUGAUCCCACUAUGGCCAACAUACUAUUCAAGAUGCUGGGAACACAGCAGUGAAUGAGAUAAAGUCCCUCUUUUCUUAUAUUCUUGCUGAAGAAAUAA
Long non-coding RNA from Lutra lutra (Eurasian river otter), 1419 nucleotides. RefSeq lists it as uncharacterized. The record is from RefSeq and is a predicted model, not a curated record. NCBI's taxonomy places the organism in Eukaryota, Metazoa, Chordata, Mammalia, Carnivora, Mustelidae. The transcript has 3 exons.